This 1023-nucleotide long non-coding RNA is filed under the name Capra hircus (goat). RNAcentral describes it as "lncRNA (ENSCHIG00010032281.1)". Lineage: Eukaryota; Metazoa; Chordata; Mammalia; Artiodactyla; Bovidae. The record is from RNAcentral.
GAGGAAAGCAAGAUUCUUCUUUCAUAUCCUGGAAGCAUCUGGGAAAAUCUCAGUAUCUGGAACAAAGGCAGUAAGUCCAUCCACUGAACUUGUUCCCAGCCCUGAGACAGGCAACGUUAGCAAAUAAUGUGGGAGCAAACGAAAAGAAUGUCCCCACACCUCUAACGUUUCCUCUUUAAAUGCAGAAGAAACUUCAUAAUCCUCCAGCUAAUUUCCUUAGAUGGUUUUCUUAAUCCUUUCACCACCUGUAGUUAGUGUCCCUGGUACUGUUGUAAUCAUUGGGAACUGAUCAACUUGAACUGCUGGUCGUAAAAGUUUAUGGCAACCACUGAGGACUUAAUGAGUGCGUAGUGGUGACUAAGGAAAUCUCAACAAAGCCCCCAACCACUGAGUCCCAGGACCACUUUUAUGAGCCCCCUGUAAAGGUGAUCAUGGUCCACUGGGGUUGGAAAGAGACAUGGAACAUGUACAGGGCACAUGUAUGUGUAUCAUCUGCCACCAACACGUAAGGCGCUUACAGACCAACAGCAUCUUGCUGGCCCUUUAAAGUACUGUCUUCAAUCCUGAGAUCCUAAAACUUUUUUCUUUUUUAAUCCUGAAAAAAAAAAAUAGAAAUGAUCUCAAAUCCAGGAAAGAUCUAAUUUAAAACAGAAAAACUUGGGGUUGGGAAGGGGAAACCCAUUCAGAGACAAUUUAAAUGUAUGAGGCUCAUUUAAAAUUUCAGGAAUUGAAAAUGGAUUAAAUUAUUUGUUCUAUGUGGGUCUUCAUUUUAGAAUUACUUUCAAAUCCUCUGAUUCUAAAAAGACUCUCUGAGUGUUUGGAGUUGUAAAGUACAUGAUGUGAUGGGAGAACGUCCAAGGGCUGGUUCUCAUUUUGUGAAAUUCUCUAAUGAAACUGCUCAAAAAUACAACCUCCCAAACUAACACCAGCAUUUGUUUGUUAUUGUUUGGUUGGCUUUCACAUCAUGAAUGAAAAACCUUCUGAAAAUAGGAAGCAAUUAUAAAAUUCUCCAGGUUCCCCUGU